CCAGAUGGCUGGGUGAUCGCGGAUGGCGCAAGCUAUCCGAGGAAAGUCCGGGCUUCAUAGAGACAGGGUGCCGGAUAAUGCCCGGCGGGCGCAAGCUCAGGGAAAGUGCCACAGAAAGGAAACCGCCGCUUUGGCUUCGGCUAGAUCGGUAAGGAUGAAAGGGUGCGGUAAGAGCGCACCGCUUGGCUGGCAACAGACAAGGCAUGGUAAACCCCACUCGAAGCAAAACCAAAUAGGGAUGACAUAUGGCGGGUCUUUGCGCUGUCAUCCGGGUCGGUUGCAUGAGGUGUCUGGCAACAGGCAUCCCAGAUGAAUGAUCGCCUCUCCUGACCUCGCGUCAGGAAGACAGAACCCGGCUUACAGGCCAUCUGGUCCA
This 376-nucleotide RNase P RNA is filed under the name Robiginitomaculum sp. RNAcentral's name for it is "RNase P RNA component class A". It matches the Rfam family "Bacterial RNase P class A". Rfam says of the family: Ribonuclease P (RNase P) is a ubiquitous endoribonuclease, found in archaea, bacteria and eukarya as well as chloroplasts and mitochondria. Its best characterised activity is the generation of mature 5'-ends of tRNAs by cleaving the 5'-leader elements of precursor-tRNAs. The record is from RNAcentral. Lineage: Bacteria; Pseudomonadati; Pseudomonadota; Alphaproteobacteria; Maricaulales; Robiginitomaculaceae.